GUCGAGCAGGGAAAAGAGGAAGGGCACAUUCUGAGACAGGAGAAAGCUGACCAUGGCCCACCUUUCCACUCCUUCCCUCCAUCCUGGGUUACAGACUCCAGGGUCUACAGCGAGGGUGGCUCUUGGGCAAGUGUAAUGUUGGUGGCAUUCUGGCUCCCCCAGGAUACCAGGGAAAGGUGUGACAUCUCCCCAGGCACCAGCACACAGACUUCCCUCUGCCAUCAUAAGGAUGGGACGGCAGCAUCUUCGGGGAUCUCAGAGCUGGAGUUUUCUCAUUUCCGCUGAUUUUAAUGUUGCCGCCAUCCCAGGAGCCCUGUGCUCGAGAUGAACAGGCACUUUUCCAGUU
Peromyscus eremicus (cactus mouse) is the source of this 346-nucleotide long non-coding RNA. RefSeq lists it as uncharacterized. NCBI's taxonomy places the organism in Eukaryota, Metazoa, Chordata, Mammalia, Rodentia, Cricetidae. The record is from RefSeq and is a predicted model, not a curated record. The transcript has 2 exons.